AGUGAACGCUGGCGGUAGGCCUAACACAUGCAAGUCGAACGGCAGCACAGUAAGAGCUUGCUCUUACGGGUGGCGAGUGGCGGACGGGUGAGGAAUACAUCGGAAUCUACUUUUUCGUGGGGGAUAACGUAGGGAAACUUACGCUAAUACCGCAUACGACCUACGGGUGAAAGCAGGGGAUCUUCGGACCUUGCGCGAUUGAAUGAGCCGAUGUCGGAUUAGCUAGUUGGCGGGGUAAAGGCCCACCAAGGCGACGAUCCGUAGCUGGUCUGAGAGGAUGAUCAGCCACACUGGAAGUGAGACACGGUCCAGACUCCUACGGGAGGCAGCAGUGGGGAAUAUUGGACAAUGGGCGCAAGCCUGAUCCAGCCAUACCGCGUGGGUGAAGAAGGCCUUCGGGUUGUAAAGCCCUUUUGUUGGGAAAGAAAAGCAGCAGGUUAAUACCACGCUGUUCUGACGGUACCCAAAGAAUAAGCACCGGCUAACUUCGUG
This 492-nucleotide ribosomal RNA is filed under the name uncultured bacterium. RNAcentral's name for it is "partial 16S ribosomal RNA". It matches the Rfam family "Bacterial small subunit ribosomal RNA", at positions 29 to 507 of the family's 1533-position model. The record is from RNAcentral.